AACCCAUGGUGAGGGCACUGGUUUGUAUAGCUUCUGAAUCUCUCACAGGCUUUACGAAAUGUCUCAUUGUUGUUUUGUAUGAAGGAAGAGAUCUGAUUCUUGAGCUU
Small nucleolar RNA from Eutrema salsugineum, 107 nucleotides. It matches the Rfam family "Plant small nucleolar RNA R71". From Rfam's summary of the family: R71 is a member of the C/D box family of snoRNAs containing the C (UGAUGA) and D (CUGA) box motifs. The record is from Rfam. NCBI's taxonomy places the organism in Eukaryota, Viridiplantae, Streptophyta, Magnoliopsida, Brassicales, Brassicaceae.